Long non-coding RNA from Astyanax mexicanus (Mexican tetra), 404 nucleotides. RefSeq lists it as uncharacterized. The transcript has 3 exons. Lineage: Eukaryota; Metazoa; Chordata; Actinopteri; Characiformes; Acestrorhamphidae. The record is from RefSeq and is a predicted model, not a curated record.
GUAAACAAUGUACAGGGCAGUUGGCGGACUUUAAAUAUAAUGUGCCGCGUCGUCCGGCUUAAAUACUGUGUAAAACACUACAAGCCUGCGAGACUGACGAGGCGUGGCGUGGACAAAGUGGGUGGAACUGGACUCGCUGGACGUCCGACUCCGUCUUCCCGCAGGCUGCAGUCAGUAGUAGUUGGAAACAGAGAAGUCUGCGUGAGCCCGAUUUUUAUGCCUGUCCUGUCGGCUCAGCUUCAGCUCAGCUCAGCUUCAGUUCACUUCAGCAGUCCUGGAAACAAAAGAUCGAGACAGGACAGGUGAUGACCUUGUCCUCCAGCAUGACGCUGACCACCAGGAAGACGAAGUAGAGCAUGAACAUGAAGAAUCCCAGCAGCUUGCUCAUCCUCCACUUGCACACG